RNAcentral lists this long non-coding RNA (256 nucleotides) under Prunus persica (peach). RNAcentral describes it as "long non-coding RNA (PPER_LNC004285)". Lineage: Eukaryota; Viridiplantae; Streptophyta; Magnoliopsida; Rosales; Rosaceae. The record is from RNAcentral.
GAAUACUUGGAAACUGUGGAUAUAGUUUGGAUAUGUCAGAACCCGGGCACCCUUGAUGGGGUGUUUCGUAGACCCUUAGAGGGGUUAGUUUGCGAGCGUAGGACUUGCCACAGGCGUAUGAGUAUUGAGGAUUCUGCUGUAUGUGCUGGUGAGCUUAGUCCCCCGGUUGGACGACUCGUCCCUGGCCACAUGCUUGUUGAGGAUUCCUCCGUGUAGUUCAGCCAAACGAUUCCCAUGUUGGAUUAUUUUUCCCGAU